Molecule: unclassified non-coding RNA, 406 nt
Filed under: soil metagenome
Description: partial contains 5.8S ribosomal RNA, internal transcribed spacer 2, and large subunit ribosomal RNA
Rfam family: 5.8S ribosomal RNA (bases 1-121)
Source: RNAcentral
GAUGAAGAACGUAGCGAAAUGCGAUAAGUAAUGUGAAUUGCAGAAUUCAGUGAAUCAUCGAAUCUUUGAACGCACCUUGCGCCCGUUGGCCAUUCCGAAGGGCAUGCCUGUUUGAGUAUCAUGAACACCUCAACUCUUCAUGGUUUUCCGUGAUGAGCUUGGACUUUGGGGGUCUUGCUGGCCUAUGGUCAGCUCCUCUAAAAUAAAUCAGCUUGCCAGUGUUUGGUGGGUAUCACAGGUGUGAUAACUAUCUACGCUUGUGGUUUUCCACCAGGUAACCUUCAGCAGUGGAGGUUCGCUGGAGCUCACAGAUGUGUCUCUCCUCAGUGAUGACAGCUCUUUGAAUGUUUGAUCUCAAAUCAGGUAGGACUACCCGCUGAACUUAAGCAUAUCAAUAAGCGGAGGA